RNAcentral lists this ribosomal RNA (380 nucleotides) under uncultured eukaryote. RNAcentral describes it as "partial 18S ribosomal RNA". It matches the Rfam family "Eukaryotic small subunit ribosomal RNA", at positions 592 to 976 of the family's 1831-position model. The record is from RNAcentral.
CAAUAGCGUAUAUUAAAGUUGUUGCGGUUAAAAAGCUCGUAGUUGGAUUUCUGCCGAGGACGACCGGUCCGCCCUCCGGGUGAGUAUCUGGUUUGGCCUGGGCAUCUUCUUGGAGAACGUAGCUGCACUUGACUGUGUGGUGCGGUGUCCAGGACUUUUACUUUGAGGAAAUUAGAGUGUUUCAAGCAGGCACACGCCUUGAAUACAUUAGCAUGGAAUAAUAAGAUAGGACCUCGGUUCUAUUUUGUUGGUUUCUAGAGCUGAGGUAAUGAUUAAUAGGGAUAGUUGGGGGCAUUCGUAUUUAACUGUCAGAGGUGAAGUUCUUGGAUUUGUUAAAGACGGACUACUGCGAAAGCAUUUGCCAAGGAUGUUUUCAUUGA